Molecule: ribosomal RNA, 465 nt
Filed under: Vreelandella stevensii
Lineage: Bacteria; Pseudomonadati; Pseudomonadota; Gammaproteobacteria; Oceanospirillales; Halomonadaceae
Description: partial 16S ribosomal RNA
Rfam family: Bacterial small subunit ribosomal RNA
Source: RNAcentral
CCUACGGGGGGCAGCAGUGGGGAAUAUUGGACAAUGGGGGCAACCCUGAUCCAGCCAUGCCGCGUGUGUGAAGAAGGCCCUCGGGUUGUAAAGCACUUUCAGUGAGGAAGAACGCCUGGUGGUUAAUACCCAUCAGGAAAGACAUCACUCACAGAAGAAGCACCGGCUAACUCCGUGCCAGCAGCCGCGGUAAUACGGAGGGUGCGAGCGUUAAUCGGAAUUACUGGGCGUAAAGCGCGCGUAGGUGGCUUGAUAAGCCGGUUGUGAAAGCCCCGGGCUCAACCUGGGAACGGCAUCCGGAACUGUCAAGCUAGAGUGCAGGAGAGGAAGGUAGAAUUCCCGGUGUAGCGGUGAAAUGCGUAGAGAUCGGGAGGAAUACCAGUGGCGAAGGCGGCCUUCUGGACUGACACUGACACUGAGGUGCGAAAGCGUGGGUAGCAAACAGGAUCAGAUACCCCGGUAGUC